This is a long non-coding RNA of Mytilus californianus (California mussel), 1119 nucleotides long. RefSeq lists it as uncharacterized. Lineage: Eukaryota; Metazoa; Mollusca; Bivalvia; Mytilida; Mytilidae. The record is from RefSeq and is a predicted model, not a curated record. The transcript has 4 exons.
CAAAAACACACGGAGGAAGUAGCAAGCAUCAUGCCUGGUGCAGAUCAAUUUUGCACAUCUUGAAGAGAAAUUAAAACAAACAAUGGAAUGUAGCAAAGUGGACAUUAUACUUGAUGAGUGCUGAAUAUGAAGAUUUUUUGAACAGAGGUAUAAUUACUGCAUGUUGCUUUUUUUUGAUAAAUUUAAUGAUAUGGUGAAUCUAUACUUGAUUAAAUGACUUUGAAAUAACCAAUAGAAUUUCAAUAACAACAUGUACAUAUAGUUCAUUUCAUUUACAAGCUGAUUUAAUCAUUUAUAAUGUAACCAAGCACAGAAUUCUCGAAAAACUGGUGGUCCAAAGAUUUGACCACCAAACUUUUUAAAGGACCGUCACAACUUUGGUUAUUAUUUUGCAACAGAAAUUAUAGUGAGGACCAGCAGGUUUUCUUGUAGAACCACCAGGGAAAAAAAGAUUUCGAGAACUCUACAAGCAUGCAUUCCACAACUCACUGCACUUCUUUUUUACAUGAUGGAGUUGCAAAAAGUUACCACAGAUCUAUGGACAUGAUGGACAACUAAAGGAGAAUAGUUUCAUUUGUCAAAGGACAACUAAAGGAGAAUAAUUUCAUUUGUCAAAGAACAACUGAAGGAGAAUAAUUUCAUUUGUCAAAGGACAACUAAAGGAGAAUAAUUUCAUUUGUCAAAGAACAACUGAAGGAGAAUAAUUUCAUUUGUCAAAGGACAACUAAAGGAGAAUAAUUUCAUUUGUCAAAGGACAGGAGACUUUCCAUGCCCUAAGAUUUUAAAAGCUGAAAUUGAAAAUAAGAUGCAGAGAACCAUUCAUGAAGUAUAUAUAUGAUACUGAUAUUUACAAUGUUCUCCAGAGCUAUAACUCCAGCCCUUUAGAUUACAUUACACUACUAUUGCUUACUAAUUCUACCAUCAAUAGCAGGAGAAGAGAGGAGAUUCAGCACUAUGAAUGAUCUUUGAAAUUUGCUGUGGAUGAUGACUAAAUCAAAUUUGGAUGCAUUAAUGAAAUUCAUAUAGCGAUGACAGUUACUUCAUUGAACAAGAAAAAGCUGUAAAUAUUUUCAAUGGUGCAAAACAAACAAGUUAUGAACUAUAAAAUGAUUAAAACUG